GCUGGGUGUGGUGGUGCACACCUGUAAUCCCAGCUACUCAGGAGGCUGAGGCAGGAGAAUCACUUGAAGCCGGGAGGCAGAUGUUGCAGUGAGCUGAGAUUGUGCCACUGCACUCCUGCCUGGCAACAGAGUGAGACUCUGUCUCAA
Molecule: non-coding RNA, 147 nt
Organism: Pan troglodytes (chimpanzee)
Lineage: Eukaryota; Metazoa; Chordata; Mammalia; Primates; Hominidae
Rfam family: Metazoan signal recognition particle RNA
About the family: The signal recognition particle (SRP) is a universally conserved ribonucleoprotein.
Source: Rfam